GAUGAACGCUGGCGGCGUGCCUAAUACAUGCAAGUCGAGCGAACAGACGAGGAGCUUGCUCCUCUGACGUUAGCGGCGGACGGGUGAGUAACACGUGGAUAACCUACCUAUAAGACUGGGAUAACUUCGGGAAACCGGAGCUAAUACCGGAUAAUAUAUUGAACCGCAUGGUUCAAUAGUGAAAGACGGUUUUGCUGUCACUUAUAGAUGGAUCCGCGCCGCAUUAGCUAGUUGGUAAGGUAACGGCUUACCAAGGCGACGAUGCGUAGCCGACCUGAGAGGGUGAUCGGCCACACUAGAACUGAGACACGGUCCAGACUCCUACGGGAGGCAGCAGUAGGGAAUCUUCCGCAAAGGGCGAAAGCCUGACGGAGCAACGCCGCGUGAGUGAUGAAGGUCUUCGGAUCGUAAAACUCUGUUAUUAGGGAAGAACAAAUGUGUAAGUAACUAUGCACGUCUUGACGGUACCUAAUCAGAAAGCCACGGCUAACUACGUG
Molecule: ribosomal RNA, 497 nt
Filed under: uncultured bacterium
Lineage: Bacteria
Description: partial 16S ribosomal RNA
Rfam family: Bacterial small subunit ribosomal RNA
Source: RNAcentral